UAAACACAGAUGCAGCUUAGCUAUGGGUAAAUAGCAUAUGAUGUGCAGCAUUUCAAGACUACAAGAGCUGUGCUUUUGCCUAUCAUCAUCAUAUGUAUGCGGUGCCAAGUAAUUACAGCAGUUUGUUCGAACAAGAAUAUUAGUGCUAGAGGAAGAUAAAAUGCCAAAUUCGAUGAUACAAACGUGCAAAACAAUGCUAGAUCACAUAACUAGUCACUCCAGAAAUAUAGCGAUUCGGCAUCAGGUGAAAUAGAUGCAUACUUGAGUAAUACAGUAAAUGGAUGAACACAUCGGCAAUACAUAAACCAAUCUGGCAGAGAAGAUACCUAGCAUAUUGGCCUGCAUGUUGAUCCACCACAAUAUACAUGCGCC
Molecule: long non-coding RNA, 372 nt
Filed under: Triticum aestivum (bread wheat)
Lineage: Eukaryota; Viridiplantae; Streptophyta; Magnoliopsida; Poales; Poaceae
Description: long non-coding RNA (TAES_LNC019586)
Source: RNAcentral